Molecule: non-coding RNA, 24 nt
Filed under: Arabidopsis thaliana (thale cress)
Lineage: Eukaryota; Viridiplantae; Streptophyta; Magnoliopsida; Brassicales; Brassicaceae
Source: RNAcentral
AGGGAACAUCUAGGGAAGGGGCUC